Molecule: ribosomal RNA, 465 nt
Filed under: uncultured bacterium
Lineage: Bacteria
Description: bacterial SSU rRNA
Rfam family: Bacterial small subunit ribosomal RNA
Source: RNAcentral
GACGAACGUUGGCGGCGUGGAUUAGGCAUGCAAGUCGAACGGUAGGAUACCUUCGGGUAUCUGAGAGUGGCGAACGGGUGAGUAACACGUAGGUGAUCUACCCUCAAGAUUGGGACAACCCAGGGAAACUUGGGCUAAUACCGGAUGAAAGCAGCAGUGAUGUUGUUUGAAAGGUGGCGUAAGCUGCCGUUUGGGGAUGAGCCUGCGCUCUAUUAGUUAGUUGGCGGGGUAAAGGCCCACCAAGGCGAUGAUAGAUAGGCGGCCUUAACGGGUGGUCGCCCACACUGGGACUGAGACACGGCCCAGACUCCUACGGGGGGCAGCAGUGGGGAAUCUUGCACAAUGGGCGAAAGCCUGAUGCAGCGACGCCGCGUGAGCGAAGAAGGCCUUCGGGUUGUAAAGCUCUGUCUGGAGGGACGAAGGAAGUGACGGUACCUCCGGACGGAAGCCACGGCUAACUACGUG